AGCUCAGUGGUAGAGCACGUGCUUAGCAUGCACGAUGUUCUGGGUUCAACUCCCAG
This 56-nucleotide transfer RNA is filed under the name Camelus bactrianus (Bactrian camel). It matches the Rfam family "tRNA", at positions 9 to 63 of the family's 71-position model. From Rfam's summary of the family: Transfer RNA (tRNA) molecules are approximately 80 nucleotides in length. Lineage: Eukaryota; Metazoa; Chordata; Mammalia; Artiodactyla; Camelidae. RNAcentral also lists the same sequence under 1 other name. The record is from Rfam by way of RNAcentral.